UUUCAAGUAACAUUUGUUUAGAUCCUAAUACUGAAGCUACGAUAAAUACCACAAUGAUGAAGUGAAAUAAUUAUAUAAGUUAUCAAAUAUCAUAUACUAAGUUCUUAAUUACGUUUUAAAGUUUCGUUUUCAUUAUUUUGAACUGAUUUAAGUAUGAUAUUACUAGGUCAUGAGAAUAACUUUAAGAAAGCUUCGAGACAGACUAUGGGUGACUUUGGCGCUGGUUACCAUUAUGGAAAAAUAAUGCAUUAUUCAUCCUAUGCAUUUUCGAAGAACGGCAAACCUUCUAUAAUACCCAAAUGAACGAAGUCCUGUCGUUUCGAUUUCAAAGGGAGUUCCGUUUUAUGAGAAGACUUCGUUCAGCCAACCCAGGUCCUCUUGACGAAAUCCGCAGCGCGUUCACCAAUCAUAAUAGCAGGCGCAUUCGUGUUACCGGAAACGACUCUUGGCAUGAUACUGGUAUCCGCCACUCUGACUCCCCUCACUCCCCUCACUCUCAAUUGAUUGUCUACCACCGCGAGAGGAUCAUCCGGUGGGCCCAUUUUGCAGGAACCUGCUUGAUGAUUCUCUGGUGCGGUGUCGUGCUUUACAGCGCAUUCCCAGUAUGCGUCGCAACCGAAUUUCAAAUGCUCGCAAUUCUUCACUGGUGUUCGAUCCAUCUGCAAUCCGUAUCUGUCAAAAAAAAGUAAUAGAAAACAAUAAAGAAAAUAAUGUGGCGAAAGUAGUAAAACAAGAUAAUAUUAAAGUGACUGAAAUAAGAUCAAUUUCAUGAUUUAAAAAGUUAAUAAUUCGAAUAAUUUAGAAAACAUUGUCAGAAAAAAUGCGCAAAUACGAUAUAAUAUUUUACAGAAAUUAAACAUUAUGGUGUAGUAUAUCUCAAUUUAUAUCGGUUCCCAGAGUAAAAUAUAUAAAACUCGCGGGGCAAUUAACGCGUCAAACUUAUUGCACUUCUAUCCAAAUUUUAGGUCUUUAUCUACUUCUGAAAACCCUGAUAACAUAUAUGUAGUCGAGUUCUACUUUCCACGUAUGAUCCAUCAGGAAACAGUGACACUUGAUCGACGAUGCAAUUGACCUCCGUUAAAGUUAAAAGCGUUCAACCAGAAGAAAUCGAUAGUCGAGUAUAAAUUACACUUGAAUAGAUAGUGUAUCGUUAUACCUGCUGAGAGCCUCGGUUUCAGACAAUUUGAUACUGAAUUUAAUGGCCUCUACAAGACCAGCCACGUCGUCAGGGUGGUUCAGAUAUUUCGGGUAAAUCAGCGGCUUCGAAAGUGGAUCGUUGUUUCGUAGACGAAGGUAACCA
RNAcentral lists this unclassified non-coding RNA (1300 nucleotides) under Bombus terrestris (buff-tailed bumblebee). RNAcentral's name for it is "misc RNA ENSBTSG00005030618.1". Lineage: Eukaryota; Metazoa; Arthropoda; Insecta; Hymenoptera; Apidae. The record is from RNAcentral.